Molecule: ribosomal RNA, 2996 nt
Filed under: Ziziphus jujuba (common jujube)
Lineage: Eukaryota; Viridiplantae; Streptophyta; Magnoliopsida; Rosales; Rhamnaceae
Description: bacterial LSU rRNA
Rfam family: Bacterial large subunit ribosomal RNA (bases 1540-2996)
Source: RNAcentral
AGGAGAGAGAAAAUUCGAUCACAUUAGGAAACAACAAGCAUGGUCGGUUUUCCCUUUAGUUUUUAGGGUUUUAUUUUGUAUUCUCUUAGCCUAUUUAAGGGCUUAUUUUUUAGGAAGAACACACCUUUAAUAGUAUUCAGAAUUUAUUUGUGAGAUUGAAUUCUCUUUGUUCUCUUUGAACACCUAAAACACCAUUAGUGAAUGAGUGUUUUAGUUUGACUUACCAAUAGGAUAUCCAUCACCUAUCGUGGCGUCUUCAUUAUACCAAAGUUUCUAAUCACAGGUUGGUUAGGGGUCAAGGUGACCAUUAGAACUUGAACAUAAUUAGAUUUGAGCUAAUAUAGUACGAGUUUCGGUGCAAGUCGUCCUACGUUCGUAUCAGAUGAAUCAAGGCCUAAGAUCAGGCCGAAAGGCGUAGUCGAUGGGCAACAGGUGAACACUCUGUACUACCCCUGGAGGCUAGGUUAGCCAAAAUAUGGUUAUCGGUUCAAGGAUGUAAGGUGCCUUUACUUUUCCAGGGUAAGAAGGGGUAGAGAAAAUGCCCUGAGCCAAUGUUCAGGUACCAAGCGCUACGGCGCUAAAGUAACCUAUGCCGUACUCCUAGGAAAAGCUCAAACAACCUUACAAAAUAGUACCUAUACCAAAAAUCAACACAGGUGGGUAGGUGGAGAAUACCUAGGGGUGUGUGAUGUGAUUCCGCCCGAGCCCGCUCAAUCGAUAACCCGCUGGGGUGCCGAUCCGUUACGGAUGAAGGUGGGACCAACCACUAAAGCACAAGCCAAGAAGUUCAAGGAUAACCUUGCUGUGCUUACUCAAAGGAUAAAUUAUAAUCAAGAAGGAUUGAUCAUGACCAAAUAACCAAGACCUGUUUUGCUGAUACAAGCACUGGAGACUGGUACGGACCCGAAUGACGGUUUUGGUACAUUUUUGGAGUCUGGGAAGCAUGAAAUGGUUCCAUUGAUUUAUGGGUUCAAUACAUAUGCCUAAUAUUUGGCAUCCUAAAAAGAACCUAGAAGCUGAUUUGAAGCUCAAAGAGGUCAAAGAUUGAUCAAAGUCAACUUGAUAAAAAAGGCUAGCAUUUUUAGUUUCCUAACUUGUUUUUACUUUUUGUUUUAGGAAACUACCAUUACUUUUUGGCUUUUAUUUAUUUAUUUUCUGGAAAAAUAACUUUAGGAAGGUUUUUAUUUUAUUCUUUCCAUUGUAAAUUAAUUAAUUCCUAAUUUAAUAUAAAGGAAUUAAUUAAUCAAACUUAGAUUAGGAAAGGAAGUAUAGUUUCGGCCAACUAGGUUUCUUUAUGUGUAGUGGCCGGUUUUCUUUAUGUUCUAGGGUUUUAUUUCGUGGCUUUGUAUCCUAUUUAAAGGCUUAUUUUUCAAUAAGAAUACAACUUUGAUUUGAUUGAGAAAAUACUUGUGAGAUUAAUUAUCUCUUUGUUCUUUGAGAACACCUAAAACACCAUUAGAGGAUUGGCUAUUUUAGCUUAACUUAUCAAUAGGUUUUCCAUCCCCUAUUGUGGUGUCUACAUUAUACCAAGGUUUCUAACCACAGGUUGGUUAGGGGUUGAGGUCAAUUCCACUAGAACUUGAUCUUAAUUAAGAUCUGGGCCAAUAUAAUACGGGUUUAGGAGCAGGUCGUCCUAGGUUCGUAUCAGUGUGAGACAACUGUCUCUAAGGAACUCAGCAAACUAGCCCCAUAAAUUAAAGAGAAAGGGUGUCUCCUCACAAAAGGGGUUGCAGUGAUCAAGCCGGGGUGACUGUUUACCAAAAACACAGGUCUCCGCAAAGUCAUAAGACUAUGUCUAGGGGCUAACACCUACCCAAUACUAUGAGGUCAAGGAAUUUGUUGACCUGAUGACAUGGAAGCCCGUGACUGAAGCCCCGGUACAGCCGACCGCUCUACGGCGACCGAAGCCCCGGUGAACGGUGGCCGUAACUAUAACGGUCCUAAGGUAGCGAAAUUCCUUGUUGGAUAAGUUUAGACCCGUACGAAAGGCAUAAUGAUCUAGACAUGUCUAUGAAGAUGCCAACUAUCUGCACUUGGACAUAAAGACCCUAUGAAGCUUUACUGUUCCCUGGGAUUGGCUUUAGGCCUUUCCUGCGCAGCCUAGGUGGAGGGCAAAGAACGCCUCCUUCUAAGGGGCCCGAGCCAUCAAUGAGAUACCAAUCUGGAAGACCUAGAAUUCUAACCUUGUGUCAGGACCUAUGAGCCAAGGGAUAGUCUUAGGUAGAUAGUUUCUAUAGGGCAUAGUCCACCCAAAAGGAAAUGGAGGCAUGUAAAAGUUUCCUCAAGCUAGACAGAGAUUGGCCCUUGAGUGUAAAGUCGAACAGGGAUGAAAGUCGGCCUUAGUGAUCCAACGAUGCCGAGUGGAAAGGCCAUCGCUCAAUGGAUAAAAGUUAUUCUAGGGAUAACAGGUUGAUCUUCCCGAAGAGCUCACAUCGAUGGGAAGGUUUAGCACCUCAAUGUUGGCUUUUCGCCACCGAAGGUUGUAGUAUGUUCCAAAGGUUGUGUUGUUCGCUCAUUAAAGCAAUACAUGAGCUAGGUUCAGAACGUUGUGAGACAGUUCGGUCCAUAUCCGAAAUAAGUAGUAGGUUCAGAACGUUGUGAGACAGUUCGGUCCAUAUCCGAUGUGGGCAUUAGAACAUUGAGAGGACAUUUCCCUAGUACAAGAGGAUCAGGAAGGAUGCAUGUCUGGUGUACCAGUUAUUGUGCCCACAGUAAACGCUAGGUAGCCAAGUGUGGAGCGGAUAACUGCUGAAAGCAUCUAAUUAGUAAGCUGAGCUCAAUAUUUGCGCUCUCCUACUCUAACUUCCCUAGAGCUUUUAAUAGCAUAGCCAAGACAACAAUGGGUUUUCUACCCCUGCAAGGGUGAAGCGAUUGAAGUUUUGAGAAUUCCAGAGAAUGUCACGAUGAGAGGAGCUGUUUGUCAUUACAAUAGGUCUCAAGUGGAAGUGCAGUGAUAUAUGCAGUUGAGGCAUCCUAACAGACCGGUAGACUUGAAC